RNA transcript from Mustela erminea (ermine), 2681 nucleotides. It is a transcript of the gene named ybeY metalloendoribonuclease, with no coding region annotated. The record is from RefSeq and is a predicted model, not a curated record. Lineage: Eukaryota; Metazoa; Chordata; Mammalia; Carnivora; Mustelidae. The transcript is spliced from 3 exons.
CAGGGAGGAUGUGCCCCUCGCCCUCCUACCUGCAAGACACCCAUUGGCUCUAGUCUCCACUUACCCCUUAAGAGCACUGUGACUUAGAGCCUUUGCUGGGUGCCUUUAUGAGGGGAGGCACAAGCUGACCCUUAGCGGGGCUGCAAGCCCCCCGACAACCUCAGCCAGGUGACCCACAGCCGACAUCUGCCCAUCCUGGCUCCUGAGGUGGGCGCAGCCCCUGGUCAGAGUUUUUCUUGUGGACCCUACCUAUGUCCUCUUUCCCGUGGCACUGCUGUGGCCAGAGCUGCUGAGCCCCAGAUGCCCGUGUCCACACGGAGCUCAGUGUCUCCCAGCUCCGGGAGGCUCCCUGAGCUUGGCUGCUGCUUCCCAUCUUCCCUGUUACUGUUUCCCGCCUUCUCUUCUGGUACAACAGCAAACCCGGGAGGCACCACAGAGCCUUAUCUAAGCUGUUCUGGGCCCAGAGCAUCGUGGGAGGAGGCCGCAGAGGUGCGCUGAGCCAACCUUGGGCCUGCACUGCCUGGGCCUCCCGGGACCGGUAUUGGCAACAGCACCACGAAUUCUGCCAAGGAGCUCUGAAGAGGUCACGGCAACGAAACGCAGCCUCUAAUCCAGGGUUACUACAAUUCUGAGAAUCUGGUUUCUCCCGUGAAUCCAAUUGAAAAACAUGAAAAUGCAUUUCCCACUGGAUAUCUUGUCAGCCUGAAUUUUCCCCAGCCCCUCAAGGACCCAGAAUUGGGCUUGUGGCACCCCUGAAGCCUUGUGGGCUCCUGGGCCGUCUCUCCUGACAGAACACUGCACUCCCCCCGGACUCUCAGCCCUGCCCCCGGAGACCAGGCUGCAACCUUUCGCCGGGCCUCUCCGACCGCACCCAGGGGGGGACCAGGUCCCGAGGCUCACCAGAGUCCACGUGCGGAGGCUCACACACCCGGAGCUGGUGCGGGCUGGACGCCGUCAGAUGCCACCCUGGGGAAGCUGGGACACGUGGGUGCGGUCACCGCUUGGGCCCGGCCCGCAGACCCCACACUACAGACAAAACAAGAAUCUUGAAAUGAGAUCAUCCGGCAUUAUCCAGGCCGUACAUCCAAGACGAGCGUCUUCGUAACAGAGGCAGAGGGAGGCUCGACACAGCAGAGGGGAGGCCGCAUGGAGACGGGGCGGGAACGGGACCACACGGCCACAAGCCAGGACCGCCCGGAGCCGCUGCUGGAUGAGGCAGGAAGGGACCCCCCACCCCCACCCAAGAGCCUCUGGAGGGAACCUGGCCAUGUGACACCCGGAUUUCAGAAUUCCGGCCUCCAGACAGAGAGAGAGCACAUCCCUAUUGUUUUCAGCUCCCAGGCCUGAGGCCCCAGGAAACAAAUCUCUUCACCAGUCCUGGGUACUAUGAAGCAAACACAUUUUUGUCUGUGUGGGAGGUAAACAUGGGUUCUUUCCACAACAUCGAGGCCCCUGGAAAUCAGGCAGCCCCCAAGACCAGAGGCAGGCAGGUCCCUAAACCACUCACAUCCCCAGUCAAAAAAGGGGAGGCUGGUGGUUGGACGGGACUCCUUCAGGGCUGUCCAGGAGCGGGGUACACAGCAGCCUUCCCACUGGAGUGGGCCCCUUGUCUCUAGCCUGCCCUCCCUGCGGCUGCUAGCCAAGCCUCCAUAAUCACACCAGCCAAGUCCUUAAAAUACGUCUCUCUCUCUCUCAACGCGCCCUGUUGGUUCUGUUUCUCUGGAGACCCUUGAUUAACAGAUUGUGUCGCAGGCCUGAGAGCAGUGGGGUGGGGGAUGGGGGCACGGAGCCAGGUUCCCACAGCGAGACAGCGGCAGGAGCUCAGGUUCCCUGCAGGAAGAGAAUGUGCAGGGGCUGAGUCUGGCAGCCCCGUUCUGGGUGAAGACCCUUGAGGAGACCCACGUGGGGCCGGGCCUGGCCAGCUCACGUGUCCCCGGAAAGCUUCCCACUGAGCAAAACCAGCCUGUGAAGGCUGGAUGAGAGGAAGGUCCGGACAGGGACAGACACAGUGUAACUGCCUCAGGGUAAGGGGCACACGUUGGUGUCAUGGGGAAACACAGUCUUCAGGACAUGGCACCCAGCCACUCUGAUAUCUGUGGCAAAGAUACCACCAGUCCCUAACUCAGAGCUCAUAAAAUCUAUUCCAGGUGGUUCAUAAACCUCAAUGGGAAAAGUAAACCAACUGUAGAAUGUCUUCAUGACCUUGAGUGGGUAACGGCUUCUUACACAGUACAGCAAAGACCCCAACCCCACAAAGAAAAAGCCUGAAGAACUGAACCUUAUUAAAAAUUAAGAACUUGUGUUCAUCCAGAGACACCACAAAGAAAGCGAUUGGCAGUCCGCGUAUCAAAAAGGACCCAUCCAUCGUCCUGGGAUCGAGCCCCACAUGGGGCUCUCUGCUCAGUGGGAAGCCUGCUUCCCUCUCUCUCUCUCUGCAUGCUUGUGGUCUCUCUCUCUGUGUCAAAUAAAUAAAUAAAAUCUUUAAAAAAAACCACUGUGACUGGAGAGCAUGGUCAGCUGAACAAUGGCCCCUGGCGUGUACAUACCCUCAUACCUGGAACCUGUGACCUGAGUUUCUUUACGUGGUGACAGUGAUGUUGCUGAUGUGAUUAGGAAUCUUGGAUUGGGGCGCCUGGGGGCUCAGUCAGUGAAGCAUCUGUCUUCAGCUCAGGUCAUGAUCU